This 629-nucleotide ribosomal RNA is filed under the name Russula sp. CUH AM110. Its description in RNAcentral is "eukaryotic LSU rRNA". It matches the Rfam family "Eukaryotic large subunit ribosomal RNA", at positions 39 to 640 of the family's 3401-position model. Lineage: Eukaryota; Fungi; Basidiomycota; Agaricomycetes; Russulales; Russulaceae. The record is from RNAcentral.
CAUAUCAAUAAGCGGAGGAAAAGAAACUAACAAGGAUUCCCCUAGUAACUGCGAGUGAAGCGGGAAAAGCUCAAAUUUAAAAUCUGGUGGUCUUUGGCCAUCCGAGUUGUAAUUUAGAGAAGCGUUUUCUGCGCUGGGCCAUGCACAAGUCUCCUGGAAUGGAGCGUCAUAGAGGGUGAGAAUCCCGUCUUUGGCAUGGAUAUAACCAGGGCUUUUGUGAUGCGCUCUCAAAGAGUCGAGUUGUUUGGGAAUGCAGCUCAAAAUGGGUGGUGAACUCCAUCUAAAGCUAAAUAUUGGCGAGAGACCGAUAGCGAACAAGUACCGUGAGGGAAAGAUGAAAAGCACUUUGGAAAGAGAGUGAAACAGUACGUGAAAUUGUUGAAAGGGAAACGCUUAAAGUCAGUCGCGUUGUCCAAGACUCAGCCUUGCCUUGGCUUGGUGUAUUUCUUGGUCGACGGGUCAGCAUCGAUUUUGACCCUUGGAUAAUGGUGAGGGAAAUGUGACACCUUUUAGGUGUGUUAUAGUCUCUUGUCACAUGUGAGGGUUAGGAUCGAGGAACUCAGCAUGCACUUUUUGGGUGUCGGGACUUUUGUCCACGAUACAUGCUUAGGAUGUUGGCGUAAUGGCUU